UGCAGUCGAACGGUGAAGGGGCCUGCUUUUGUGGGUCCUGGAUGAGUGGCGAACGGGUGAGUAACACGUGAGUAACCUGCCCCCUUCUUCUGGAUAACCGCAUGAAAGUGUGGCUAAUACGGGAUAUUCUGGGUCUGUCGCAUGGUGGGCCUGGGAAAGAUUGCGCCUUUUUUGGUGUUUUUGGUGGGGGAUGGGCUCGCGGCCUAUCAGCUUGUUGGUGGGGUGAUGGCCUACCAAGGCGGUGACGGGUAGCCGGCCUGAGAGGGUGGACGGUCACACUGGGACUGAGACACGGCCCAGACUCCUACGGGAGGCAGCAGUGGGGAAUAUUGCACAAUGGGCGCAAGCCUGAUGCAGCGACGCCGCGUGAGGGAUGGAGGCCUUCGGGUUGUGAACCUCUUUCGCCAGUGAAGCAGGCCUGCCUCGUUUGUGGGUGGGUUGACGGUAGCUGGAUAAGAAGCGCCGGCUAACUACGUGCCAGCAGCCGCGGUAAUACGUAGGGCGCGAGCGUUGUCCGGAAUUAUUGGGCGUAAAGAGCUCGUAGGCGGCUGGUCGCGUCUGUCGUGAAAUCCUCUGGCUUAACUGGGGGCUUGCGG
This 596-nucleotide ribosomal RNA is filed under the name Actinomyces naeslundii. RNAcentral's name for it is "bacterial SSU rRNA". It matches the Rfam family "Bacterial small subunit ribosomal RNA", at positions 56 to 626 of the family's 1533-position model. Lineage: Bacteria; Bacillati; Actinomycetota; Actinomycetes; Actinomycetales; Actinomycetaceae. The record is from RNAcentral.